AUUCAGCUAACGAGUCACAAAUAAGACGAAAUGCACAUCCUGUAU
Schistosoma curassoni is the source of this 45-nucleotide non-coding RNA. The record is from Rfam. Lineage: Eukaryota; Metazoa; Platyhelminthes; Trematoda; Strigeidida; Schistosomatidae.